Molecule: unclassified non-coding RNA, 5253 nt
Filed under: Hevea brasiliensis (rubber tree)
Lineage: Eukaryota; Viridiplantae; Streptophyta; Magnoliopsida; Malpighiales; Euphorbiaceae
Source: RNAcentral
AUUAAAAAGGAAUGGUUUUCAUUAAUGAGUCAACAAGAACAUAUGUACAAAGAAAGUAGUGGAGAAGACAGAGGGUAAGCCAUUCACAGAAGGUAGAUUUAAAAGAAAUUGAUAUGGCUUACAACAAUUAGCCAGCCAAUUGAGUAUAAAGGGAAGUGAAUCUUUCUCCAAUUUUCUUAAUGAAAUUACACACUAAAUACUAAUAUAGAUUGACUAGAUUUGAAUAUUUACACCACUACGACUCAAAAUAUACAGAGGAAAUAAUACAACCUCUUUAACCAAAUAUAUCCCUCCUAUAUAAAUUAUGAAAACAAAGGAUACAAGAACGUAUUUUUACAACAAAAUUCUUGACAUAUCUUGCAAGUGGUUCAUCGAACAAGACUUCAUCUCACCACCAUCUAGCUUCGGAUGAGAAUUUAUCCCCGUAAUAUACACCUGAAUUUCCUCAGCCAUAUAUUCUUGCUGCAGGGUAAAAUUUUUCCUUUUUUUCCCAUAUCAUUGCCUGUUUUAGGUUGCGCCUUCUCCUUCGAAGUUGAACUGGGUGUUCAGCCAUUCGUAAAUAUGAUGCUUAUCCACAUAAGAACCACUUCUGUUUUGAUCAAUAGACUAUGGCAUAUACAGCACUUGAUCAUUUGAUAUUCCCAUUCUUGAUAGUAGUCGGCAUCAAGUUUUCAGUCUCCUUUUUGGGAGCAACCAUCUUCAACUUUUCAUUUCCUGUUUCCCUCUCUGCCUUUUUCUUUUCAAAUUCAAGGUGCUUGCAGUUUUCAUCAUGGGCUCGAACAAACAUCCUCACAAAAUUGAGCAUGGUAAACACAACUUGCUCAAAUGGACAACGAGCAGGAUCUUCCCCAAAAGAAAGGGCCAAUGCAUCUGCAUUUCUACCCACAGUAGCAUAAAGUGAAGCUGAAGAUCUCACUUCACUUUCAGCAGAACUCAGAAAUGCCUUUAGUAUCUCUUAUUGCAGUUUGAUCAUAAGAAUGGGAGUGUCAGAAAUUGUAUUUAGAUGACUAGGUCCAAAAAGGCUUUGACCUGAAUUCAUGAAAGAACCACUCAACUUAAAAACUUGAACUCUUAGGUGAUAAGGUGAAUGCGCCAAAAAUAAGUUCUCUCCUCUCUAAUAGUUGGACAUUUGAAUUGACAUUAAGCCUUCUCCAUCAAUAAAAGACAGAUCCUGCUUGUAUGAUGCAUGAUCAAGCAUAUAACAAUAUUAAUCUGCUGUGACAUCAACUUUAUUGCAAAUAAAAGAAAAAGGAAAAAAAAUAUAUUGUGUGCCUCCAAGCUUCAAUUUCCAAUAGGAAAUUUCAGCAAACAUUUUCUGAAGAGCCUUAUCUGCACAUAUGAACUCACAGUAGCUGGUAUGUCAGACUUAACCUUGCAAAAAUUUUCUGACACUUGACCAUCAUUCUCUGAAGCAGUCAAUUCCUGCACAACUUUCUCCAGCCCUUUACUAAUGGCUUGCAUUUCCUCUGCCAAAUAUUUCAAUUGUAUUUUGGUUGCAGCCUCCAAAUUUGUAAGGUCUUUUGGAAAAUCCAGCAGCUCUGGAAGCUUUUCAUCGAGCACCUUACAGAGAUAAUGCAUGAGUCAUCUUGUUAUUCCGAGCUCGAGUAUCUGUGAGUUUGAGAAGACUGUCCAACCGAAAUCCAAUAGCAGAACCCCUUACAGUUCCAUGGUUCAAGGCAUUACCCAGGGAAAGAAUAGUUUGCAUGAUCCUUUUCAACUUGACUGAGCUCUUGAUCUCUUCAGCAGCUGAAUUUACAACAUUCAAAUUUCUUCUGAGGUCAGAGACCUGGGGUUGGAAUUGUAGCUUAAAUGAAAAAACUCCUAGCUUUGACUCUACGCGUGGCACUUUCAUCAAUUCUAAGAAGAACUGUUGACACUUUCCCAAGUUCUCCUCAUCUCCAUUAUAACCCUCAAGCAAUUCCAUCUCUUCUUUUGUUGGACAGAACUUGAUAAGGUUAUCAACCUGAUCAACAUCUAGAGCUGAAUCAUCCAUGGCAAGGAUUGAACUCAUCAGGUCAGAGAGAGGAAUCUUAACCUUCAAAAGCAUGAUCUCACAAUUAUACGCCCGUCUAAGCUCAAUCAGCUAAACUUUGUCAGAUUUAGGUCCCAAGGUGCCGCGAUUUGAUUUUGCCCCAAUGCCUCCUUGACCAGUAGUUGGUGCAACUGCUGAGAAAAGAUUUUGAAGUUCUGACAAGUCAAAUUCUGGAGCCCUAGCACAGACAAAACAGAAUAAGGAAAAAGAAAAAAGCAUAAAGAGUUAUGUUAACUGAAAACAUUUCUUUAACAAACAGGUUGACAAGCACUUGGAAGCUUCAUCAGAUUUUUGUGUCUCAGCCCAAAGACUUCCUUGCAUGACUCCAGUUAAUUUUAACCAAUGAUAGGGCUUCAGGUUGGCCUUUCUAGGUUGGACCUGACUUCUCGGAUUUGGAUGUGAUAGGCCUCGCCCCUUUACAUUGAAUGGAACACCAGCAGCUGGUCCAGGAACUGAAGGCACAUUUCCAUUGCCAACUCCAGAAGGAGAUGCUGAAGAAGCAGCACAGGGUUUUGAUAACCCUUCGGAAAAAGGAGUGGGAGGUGGUGGCACAGGAGGAAUAUGUGCAGAAUUGUUAGAUGAGUUUCAAGCAGAACUAGGAGGAGAAGGUGGUGGUGGCACUUUAACAAUGCUGGAAAAGCCUGAUGCAGAUCCAGAACAUGGAGGAGGAGGAGGAGUAGGAGGUCCAGAAAUGACUGUUGAGUUUGUUACAGGCUGCAGAGAAGACACUGGGUUAACAACUAAUGAAGCAACCUCAGCAGGUGGAGGAGGAGGAAGAGUUGAAUAUAAGUUCUUGAUCGUGGAUGAUGGAGAUGUUCCUGAAACCAAAGGAUGGGGAUGGGGAGUUGAGAAUGAUUUAUUAACUUUGGGUGAUGAGGAUGCUCUGGAAAAAUAAGAGGGAGGAGGAGGGGGAGGGGGAGGCGGAGGGGGAGAAGGAGAAGGAGGUGAGAAUGAUUUCCUUUCUCUAGGUGAUGGUGAUUCCCCUGAAAAAGAAGAGGGUGGAGGAGGGGGAGGGGGAGUUGAGGAUGAACUCUCAUAGGCAGAAGGAGAUGACCCUUGAGGAGAAGGGGAUGGAAGUAGGGUAGCAGGACGCGAUAAUGACCGACUUCUAUCUGAUAAUUUUUCAGGACAAUGAUUAGGUGAAGAUUUUGUUGCUUUUGAAGUUGAUUGAGGUGGAGGAUAGUCAGCAGCAGAAAUUUUUUCUGAAGUGGUGGUAGCCUCAAUGGAACGUUGCAAUGAUGUAGAAGAUGGUGGUGGCGGCGGCGGCGGCAGCGGCGGCAGCGACAGCGACAGUGACGGUGAUGGCAGCCUUACAUGAGAGACAUGGCUGAGCUGCACAGAUUUCUGUACAUUUGUGAGAGGGGAUGAAAUUGUUGGGGAUGAAAUUGUUGAGGAUGUUAAUGUCAAUGGGCGCAUGGCUUCCUCACUGUUAGAUGCAGCAUGAUCAUGCAACAAAGCUGAAAUGCCAACGGUUGGGGAGGUGCUAUGAUAUGGAGAAGAUCGUGAAGUCUUUGACACUCUUGAGGAUAAGAUCUUCGACUGAGCAGGCCAUUGCAGUGCAACCUUUGGUUCUUGGGGUUCAACCUUCUCCAUAACUGAAUUUGCAUCUACAGAUAGUUCCCGUAGACUAGGGGAUGUGGGACUCCCACUCUUUUUCUCUACUUGAUUUAACUUCGAUUCAUGUUGAAAUUUUUCAAUGGUCAUGCUGCCUUUUUGUGCUUUCCGUGGAGAAACAGCCUCCAAAUUUUCUUGGAGUGUAGUGAUAUGCUGAAGCACAUUUAAUGCCACAUCAGGUUUUGUAUCUAGCCAGUCCACAUUGCUGAAAAUCUCUUGAACUUUAGCAAAAGCUUCCUCAGGAAGGCCACCUUUCUCCUCCAAACCCGGCAAAUCAAUUGAAGUACGGGAUGAAAUAGAAUCCAUCUCUGAAAAAAGAACCUCAGCUCUGAAGUCCUUUGGAAAUUGAUCUUUAACAUUCCAUAAUGUGUCAAUUUCAUCACGGUUAAGCAUCAAUAUAUUUGAUCUUAUAAAGGCCGUAUUGAACAUAACACGGAACAUCAUGUGUUCCCUUUCCAAAUCACUGUCCACACUAAUACAUUCCAUCACAACAUCACCUUGAAUAUGACAAUGGAUGUCUAUUUUAAUUAAAUCACAAACUUCCUGCUUGUAAUGCCGAACAAGUUUGCUCCUUUUUGGUCUCGAGAAAAGAACUUUGGGAGUUUGAUCAGCAACCAUUAAAGGGUCCUGACCAUAAAUUCUAAAUAUUGGACGGCAACCACCCUCUCCAUUCAUAUUGGGAAUAACUCUAAGAAUAACACAGUCCAGAGUAAGUGCCCUAUCCAGUGGAGGCCACUGUGAGCCCACAUUCCUUCUUGAUACAUAUUGCAGGUACCUCAGUUGUGAAGGCAAUGGAUUGAGGGGUGACAUCAGCUGCAAAAGCUCUCUAGGUGCUUGCUUGUAAAUCAUGUCUAGGGUUUUCUGCUCACCGGUGAAUUGCUUCCUAUAUAUCAAGAGUGCAGCAAGCAUGAAAGCCAAAACUGGCCAGCCACCUUGUUCGCAAUGCAUCAGUAGCACAUUUUGUUGCACAAGUGACAGCCAGCUUUCACUUGAUUUGAGAAAGUGGUGGAUCAUCUCCAUAGUGAGCAAUGGGCAACCUUCAUAGUGACGAGGAUAGUCCAUUACAGUCAUAUCAUACUCAGAUAAUAUGCUCCCAAUCUGGCUUUGGUUCUCUCCCUCUCGGAAGUUGAAGACCAUGAAUGAAGAGUCUGGAAAGUAGUCACGAAGUUGACUAACUAUGUUUCCUAUGUAGACUUUACAUUCAUCAUCUUCCAAAAUAUCUGCAGUAAAGCAGCAGUCAAAGACAUAAACCCUUUCGGAGAUUUCGAAAAGGCCGUCAGGCGGUUUUCGAUAGAAGAACUUCCUAAACAGAGCCAUUUCUAGGAGAUCCAAGAGAAAACCCCAGGAAAAGACCUAGAAAUGCACCAAUUGAAGCAACAUUGCACCAAAGACGCAGCUUCUUAAAAUCAGCUGAUAUACAGAGAUUACAGAGAAGCCAAAAUGAUGCGCAUUGAAGAAAGAAAAGCAGAAGAGGCAUGGAUUUUGCUGGGACUUGAAGAUACCGGUUGUGUGGGUAUUGUCAUUGUCUUCACAUGCACACUUUGUGUUUGUGGGUUUGUGUCAGAGAGACUUAGCUUUCAAUCAACAGAGGUUGAUAGCCACAGAGA